CCUACGUGGGGCUGCAGUGAGGCAUAUUGGUCAAUGGGCGCGAGCCUUAACCAGCCAAGUAGCGUGAAGGAUGCCUGCCCUACGGGUUGUAAACUUCUUUUAUAAAGGAAUGAAGUGAGGCACGUGUGCCUUUUUGUAUGUACUUUAUGAAUAAGGAUCGGCUAACACCGUGCCAGCAGCCGCGGUAAUACGGAUGAUCCGAGCGUUAUCCAGAUUUAUUGGGUUUAAAGGGAGCGUAGAUGGGUUGUUAAGUCAGUUGUGAAAGUUUGCGGCUCAAUCGUAAAAUUGCAAUUGAUACUGGCAGUCUUGAGUACAGUUGAGGUAGGCGGAAUUCGUGGUGUAGCGGUGAAAUGCUUAGAAAUCACGAAGAAAUCCGAUUGCGAAGGCAGCUUACUAAACUGCCACUGACAUUGAUGCUCGAAAGUGUGGGUAUCAAACAGGAUUAGAUACCCGAGUAGUC
This 460-nucleotide ribosomal RNA is filed under the name uncultured bacterium. RNAcentral describes it as "partial 16S ribosomal RNA". It matches the Rfam family "Bacterial small subunit ribosomal RNA", at positions 338 to 795 of the family's 1533-position model. The record is from RNAcentral.